CAGCUGGAGCGUCGGGAGCUGGAGGGGGCGCGGCGGCAGCGGGACCUGGAGCAGCGGCACCACCUCCUCAUGCAGCAGGACCUGUCGCAGGAGACGGUGGGCGGGGUCUUGGAGGAGGCGGGGCCUGAGGCCCCGCCCAUGGAGGGUUACCUGUACAAGAGAGCGAGCAACGCCUUCCGCACCUGGAGCAGGCGCUGGUUCUUCAUCCGGAGCAACCAACUGGUUUAUCUCAAACGGGCCCGGG
Molecule: long non-coding RNA, 244 nt
Organism: Neopelma chrysocephalum (saffron-crested tyrant-manakin)
Lineage: Eukaryota; Metazoa; Chordata; Aves; Passeriformes; Pipridae
Exons: 3
Source: RefSeq, a predicted model, not a curated record